UCGAACGAAGCAUCUUACCGGAUUCUUCGGAUGAAAGUUUGGUGACUGAGUGGCGGACGGGUGAGUAACGCGUGGGUAACCUGCCCUGUACAGGGGGAUAACAGCUGGAAACGGCUGCUAAUACCGCAUAAGCGCACGAGGAGACAUCUCCUAGUGUGAAAAACUCCGGUGGUACAGGAUGGGCCCGCGUCUGAUUAGCUGGUUGGCAGGGUAACGGCCUACCAAGGCAACGAUCAGUAGCCGGUCUGAGAGGAUGAACGGCCACAUUGGAACUGAGACACGGUCCAAACUCCUACGGGAGGCAGCAGUGGGGAAUAUUGCACAAUGGGGGAAACCCUGAUGCAGCAACGCCGCGUGAGUGAAGAAGUAUUUCGGUAUGUAAAGCUCUAUCAGCAGGGAAGAUAAUGACGGUACCUGACUAAGAAGCUCCGGCUAAAUACGUGCCAGCAGCCGCGGUAAUACGUAUGGAGCAAGCGUUAUCCGGAUUUACUGGGUGUAAAGGGUGCGUAGGUGGCAGUGCAAGUCAGAUGUGAAAGGCCGGGGCUCAACCCCGGAGCUGCAUUUGAAACUGCUCGGCUAGAGUACAGGAGAGGCAGGCGGAAUUCCUAGUGUAGCGGUGAAAUGCGUAGAUAUUAGGAGGAACACCAGUGGCGAAGGCGGCCUGCUGGACUGUUACUGACACUGAGGCACGAA
Molecule: ribosomal RNA, 693 nt
Filed under: uncultured Lachnospiraceae bacterium
Lineage: Bacteria; Bacillati; Bacillota; Clostridia; Lachnospirales; Lachnospiraceae
Description: bacterial SSU rRNA
Rfam family: Bacterial small subunit ribosomal RNA
Source: RNAcentral